CCUACGGGGGUCAGCAGUGAGGAAUAUUGGUCAAUGGGCUUACGCCUGAACCAGCCAAGUCGCGUGAGGGAAGACUGCCCUAUGGGUUGUAAACCUCUUUUGUCAGGGAGCAACGCCGGCUACGUGUAGCCGGACUGAGAGUACCUGAAGAAAAAGCAUCGGCUAACUCCGUGCCAGCAGCCGCGGUAAUAAGGAGGAUGCGAGCGUUAUCCGGAUUUAUUGGGUUUAAAGGGUGCGUAGGCGGAAUGCCAAGUCAGCGGUAAAAUCGCGGGGCUCAACCUCGCUCCGCCGUUGAAACUGGCGUUCUGGAGUGGGCGAGAAGUAUGCGGAAGGCGUGGUGUAGCGGUGAAAUGCAUAGAUAUCACGCAGAACUCCGAGUGCGAAGGCAGCAUACCGGCGCCCAACUGACGCUGAAGCACGAAAGCGUGGGUAUCGAACAGGAUUAGAUACCCCUGUAGUC
This 460-nucleotide ribosomal RNA is filed under the name uncultured bacterium. Its description in RNAcentral is "partial 16S ribosomal RNA". It matches the Rfam family "Bacterial small subunit ribosomal RNA", at positions 338 to 795 of the family's 1533-position model. The record is from RNAcentral.